UUUUUUUUUUCAUUUUGUUUCUGUGAUUGGAUUUGUCCUGAGUACUCUCUUCCAAGUUUAUUCGCACAGUGGACUGUGUGAUUUAAGUUUGGGGGAGGGCUCAGGAAGUGUGUGUUGCAUUGUAUAUAUUUUUGAGUCUGCAUUCAUCUAAGGGAUAGAAAAACCAAAAAAAUUUGAAAAAUUUCAGAAAAUGAUUUCACAAAAAAAAAGAGUGUUCAUGUAAUUGCAUUACAUUUAGAAUCGAGUCUAGAGUGUUUCAUUUAGGAUUAUUGCAUAUGUAUAGGGGAUGAUGAUGAGAUAGCCUUGUAAGCAUUUUGAUUCACCGGAGAAACUCAGUGCCCUCGUUACUAGUUGUCUGUUGAGUAGUCAAUGAAUUUGAAAUAAAACUGAACCAUGCCUAGAUUGCUCUACUCGACCACACUGUCAUGAUCUGAUACGAUUUCCUAUCAAUUUGAACCUGAAUCUGAUCUUUAAUUAUCAUGUCUGCAUCAAAUUUGAACUCAUGGAUACCCUAAAAUACUUGGAUUUUCUUAUUCAUUUUGAUCACUCUUGUUAAUCCAAGUAGCUGAUUCUGCUUAUUAGAGCAGUUAACUCAAACCCAAACCUAGACUUUCUUUCAAGCCCUAUAUCACUUGUGAGUGUUUGUGAGGUCUUAUUCCGAUUAAGUUUGGUAGAAAGUGUUAGGUUCGUAACGACAGAGAUAGUGUCUCAUGUAGUUCUAGUUCAUAUUUUUCGGACUAGAUAGGACUAGGUGGGCGCUUAUACUUUGGGUUGGGAUGUGUUUAAAAGAAAAAAAA
This 797-nucleotide small RNA is filed under the name Arabidopsis thaliana (thale cress). Its description in RNAcentral is "ATSL168630". Lineage: Eukaryota; Viridiplantae; Streptophyta; Magnoliopsida; Brassicales; Brassicaceae. The record is from RNAcentral.